GUCAGUUAAAAAAAAUCCUUGGCUUUGGCAGUAGCCAUGGAUGAGAUUCCCCACCUACAGCCAGUGGGGCGUCAGCUCAUUGCCCCAUCUCUCAUGUUAGGUGUUGAGAACUGGGUCUCAAAAAGA
Small nucleolar RNA from Sorex fumeus (smoky shrew), 126 nucleotides. RefSeq annotates it as small nucleolar RNA ACA64. NCBI's taxonomy places the organism in Eukaryota, Metazoa, Chordata, Mammalia, Eulipotyphla, Soricidae. The record is from RefSeq and is a predicted model, not a curated record. The transcript has a single exon.